Molecule: ribosomal RNA, 217 nt
Filed under: Thiomonas sp. enrichment culture clone 'DGGE gel band P1'
Lineage: Bacteria; Pseudomonadati; Pseudomonadota; Betaproteobacteria; Burkholderiales
Description: partial 16S ribosomal RNA
Rfam family: Bacterial small subunit ribosomal RNA
Source: RNAcentral
GCGCGGCGGGCGGGGCGGGGGCACGGGGGACUCCUACGGGAGGCAGCAGUGGGGAAUCUUGGACAAUGGGCGCAAGCCUGAUCCAGCAAUGCCGCGUGUGGGAAGAAGGCCUUCGGGUUGUAAACCACUUUUGGCAGGAAAGAAAUCGUCCGUGUUAAUACCAUGGAUGGAUGACGGUACCUGCAGAAUAAGCACCGGCUAACUACGUGCCAGCAGC